AACGAACGCUGGCGGCAUGCCUAACACAUGCAAGUCGAACGAGACCUUCGGGUCUAGUGGCGCACGGGUGCGUAACGCGUGGGAACCUUCCCUUAGGUUCGGAAUAACUCCCCGAAAGGGGUGCUAAUACCGGAUAAUGUCUUCGGACCAAAGAUUUAUCGCCUUUGGAUGGGCCCGCGUUGGAUUAGCUAGUUGGUAGGGUAAAAGCCUACCACGGCGACGAUCCAUAGCUGGUCUGAGAGGAUGAUCAGCCACACUGGGACUGAGACACGGCCCAGACUCCUACGGGAGGCAGCAGUGGGGAAUAGUGGACAAUGGGCGAAAGCCUGAUCCAGCAAUGCCGCGUGAGUGAUGAAGGCCUUAGGGUUGUAAAGCUCUUUUACCCGGGAUGAUAAUGACAGUACCGGGAGAAUAAGCUCCGGCUAACUCCGUG
This 433-nucleotide ribosomal RNA is filed under the name uncultured bacterium. RNAcentral describes it as "partial 16S ribosomal RNA". It matches the Rfam family "Bacterial small subunit ribosomal RNA", at positions 29 to 507 of the family's 1533-position model. The record is from RNAcentral.